Unclassified non-coding RNA from Pongo abelii (Sumatran orangutan), 148 nucleotides. It matches the Rfam family "Metazoan signal recognition particle RNA". From Rfam's summary of the family: The signal recognition particle (SRP) is a universally conserved ribonucleoprotein. It is involved in the co-translational targeting of proteins to membranes. The record is from Ensembl. Lineage: Eukaryota; Metazoa; Chordata; Mammalia; Primates; Hominidae.
GCUGGGUAUCGUGAUGGGUGCCUGUAAUCUCAGCUACUUGUGGGGCUGAGGCAGGAGAAUCACUUUAACCCGGGAGCUGGAGUUUGCAGUGAGCUGAGAUUGUGCCACUGCACUCCAGCCUGGGUGACAGAGUGAGAACCCGUCUCAC